This 24-nucleotide small RNA is filed under the name Arabidopsis thaliana (thale cress). RNAcentral's name for it is "ATSL297650". The record is from RNAcentral. Lineage: Eukaryota; Viridiplantae; Streptophyta; Magnoliopsida; Brassicales; Brassicaceae.
CGCUCCUUGGAGCUAGUGCGUCUU